This 413-nucleotide ribosomal RNA is filed under the name uncultured bacterium. RNAcentral describes it as "bacterial SSU rRNA". It matches the Rfam family "Bacterial small subunit ribosomal RNA", at positions 354 to 781 of the family's 1533-position model. The record is from RNAcentral.
UGGGGGAAUCUUGGACAAUGGGCGCAAGCCUGAUCCAGCCAUGCCGCGUGAGCGAUGAAGGCCUUAGGGUUGUAAAGCUCUUUCACCGGUGAAGAUAAUGACGGUAGCAGGUAAAGAAACCCCGGCUAACUCCGUGCCAGCAGCCGCGGUAAUACGGAGGGGGUUAGCGUUGUUCGGAAUUACUGGGCGUAAAGCGCACGUAGGCGGACCAGAAAGUUGGGGGGUGAAAUCCCGGGGGGCUCAACCCCGGAACUGCCUCCAAAACUAUUGGUCUAGAGUUCGAGAGAGGUGAGUGGAAUUCCAAGUGUAGAGGUGAAAUUCGUAGAUAUUUGGAGGAACACCAGUGGCGAAGGCGGCUCACUGGCUCGAUACUGACGCUGAGGUGCGAAAGUGUGGGGAGCAAACAGGAUUAG